RNAcentral lists this ribosomal RNA (468 nucleotides) under uncultured bacterium. RNAcentral describes it as "partial 16S ribosomal RNA". It matches the Rfam family "Bacterial small subunit ribosomal RNA", at positions 28 to 507 of the family's 1533-position model. The record is from RNAcentral.
GACGAACGCUGGCGGCGUGCUUAACACAUGCAAGUCGAACGGAAAGGCCCUGCUUUUGUGGGGUGCUCGAGUGGCGAACGGGUGAGUAACACGUGAGUAACCUGCCCUUGACUUUGGGAUAACUUCAGGAAACUGGGGCUAAUACCGGAUAGGAGCUCCUGCUGCAUGGUGGGGGUGGGAAAGUUUCGGCGGUUGGGGAUGGACUCGCGGCUUAUCAGCUUGUUGGUGGGGUAGUGGCUUACCAAGCCUUUGACGGGUAGCCGGCCUGAGAGGGUGACCGGCCACAUUGGGACUGAGAUACGGCCCAGACUCCUACGGGAGGCAGCAGUGGGGAAUAUUGCACAAUGGGCGGAAGCCUGAUGCAGCAACGCCGCGUGCGGGAUGACGGCCUUCGGGUUGUAAACCGCUUUCGCCUGUGACGAAGCGUGAGUGACGGUAAUGGGUAAAGAAGCACCGGCUAACUACGUG